Molecule: ribosomal RNA, 466 nt
Filed under: uncultured bacterium
Lineage: Bacteria
Description: partial 16S ribosomal RNA
Rfam family: Bacterial small subunit ribosomal RNA
Source: RNAcentral
GACGAACGCUGGCGGCGUGCUUAACACAUGCAAGUCGAACGGAAAGGCCCUGCUUGCAGGGUACUCGAGUGGCGAACGGGUGAGUAACACGUGGGUGAUCUGCCCUGCACUUCGGGAUAAGCUUGGGAAACUGGGUCUAAUACCGGAUAGGAACCAUCUUUAGUGUGGUGGUUGGAAAGUUUUUUCGGUGUAGGAUGAGCUCGCGGCCUAUCAGCUUGUUGGUGGGGUAAUGGCCUACCAAGGCGGCGACGGGUAGCCGGCCUGAGAGGGUGUACGGCCACAUUGGGACUGGGAUACGGCCCAGACUCCUACGGGAUGCAGCAGUGGGGAAUAUUGCACAAUGGGCGCAAGCCUGAUGCAGCGACGCCGCGUGGGGGAUGAAGGCCUUCGGGUUGUUAACUCCUUUCGCUAGGGACGAAGCUUUGUUGUGACGGUACCUAGAGAAGAAGCACCGGCUAACUACGUG